Molecule: ribosomal RNA, 253 nt
Filed under: uncultured bacterium
Lineage: Bacteria
Description: partial 16S ribosomal RNA
Rfam family: Bacterial small subunit ribosomal RNA
Source: RNAcentral
UACGAAGGGGGCUAGCGUUGCUCGGAAUCACUGGGCGUAAAGCGCACGUAGGCGGCUUUCUAAGUCAGGGGUGAAAUCCUGGAGCUCAACUCCAGAACUGCCUUUGAUACUGGGGAUCUCGAGUCCGGAAGAGGUGGGUGGAAUUCCUAGUGUAGAGGUGAAAUUCGUAGAUAUUAGGAAGAACACCGGUGGCGAAGGCGGCCCACUGGUCCGGUACUGACGCUGAGGGACGAAAGCUAGGGGAGCGAACGGG